CGCACGGCGCACGGGUGCGUAACACGUGGGCAAUCUGCCCUCCGAUGGGGAAUACCCCCGCGAAAGCGGGACUAAUUCCGCAUAACAUUCCUUGGAUUAACUUUCGAGGAUUCAAAGCAGCAAUGCGUCGGAGGAGGAGCCCGCGCCCGAUUAGCUAGUUGGUGAGGUAACGGCUCACCAAGGCAAUGAUCGGUAGCUGGUCUGAGAGGAUGGCCAGCCACACUGGAACUGGGACACGGUCCAGACUCCUACGGGAGGCAGCAGUGGGGAAUCUUGCACAAUGGGCGAAAGCCUGAUGCAGCGACGCCGCGUGGGGGAUGAAGCUUUUCGGAGUGUAAACCCCUUUCGACUGGGACGAAUGCCUCGCAAGAGGAGUGGCGGUACCAGUAUAAGAAGCCCCGGCUAACUACGUGCCAGCAGCCGCGGUAAGACGUAGGGGGCCAGCGUUGUUCGGAAUUACUGGGUGUAAAGAGUUCGUAGGCGGUGUGGCAAGUCGGGAGUGAAAUCUCUGGGCUCAACCCAGAGACUGCUUCCGA
RNAcentral lists this ribosomal RNA (536 nucleotides) under uncultured bacterium. RNAcentral describes it as "bacterial SSU rRNA". It matches the Rfam family "Bacterial small subunit ribosomal RNA", at positions 92 to 630 of the family's 1533-position model. The record is from RNAcentral.